Molecule: long non-coding RNA, 662 nt
Filed under: Homo sapiens (human)
Lineage: Eukaryota; Metazoa; Chordata; Mammalia; Primates; Hominidae
Description: HSALNT0121262
Source: RNAcentral
UUUUGGGAGUCCCUGCUGUGUGCUGGGAAUCAUAUUAGAUACCAGAGAUGAGUACAAGAUACAGUUCCUACAGUUCCUGCAAUUUAGGAGCUUGACAUGGAGACAUCCCCAUCCCAAUCCAUGGCCCCUCUUCAGAUGUUCAGAUUUCUGGCCACACGACAUUCUAUUCAAUGACCAUGCAGCCUGGUGUCACUCGCUGCCCCUGCUCUGCACCCGCCUGCCACCAGAUAUCAGAGUUUUGUCAGGCCUCUGAGCCGAAGCUCGGCCAUUAUAACCCCUGUGACCUGCACAUAUCCGUCUAGAUGGCCUGCAGGAGCCAAGAAGUCUGGAGCAGCCAAAGAAAAACUACAAAGAAGUAAAACAGCCAGUCCCUGCCUUAACUGAGUAAAAUUACAAUAUUUUACUAUCGUGACUUGUCCCUGCCCUAUCUUAGUUGAUCAUUUGACUUUGUGACAUUCUUCUUCUGGACAAUAAGUCUUAUGAUCUCUCCACCAUGUACCUUGCAACCCUCUCCUCUGCUAACAGUAAAUAACUACCUUUUAUUGUAAUUUUCCAUUACCUACCCAACUCCUAUAAAGCAACCGCUUCCCCAUCUCCCUUCGCUGACUGUCUUUUCGGACUCAGCCCACUUGCACCCAAGUGAAUAAACAGCUUUAUUGCUC